Molecule: ribosomal RNA, 449 nt
Filed under: uncultured bacterium
Lineage: Bacteria
Description: partial 16S ribosomal RNA
Rfam family: Bacterial small subunit ribosomal RNA
Source: RNAcentral
GUCGAGAAUCUUUCACAAUGGGGGCAACCCUGAUGGAGCGACGCCGCGUGGAGGAUAAGGUCUUCGGAUUGUAAACUCCUGUCAUGCGUGAACAAGGUUGCUUGGUUAAUACCUGGGCAAAUUGAUGGUAACGCAAGAGGAAGAGACGGCUAACUCUGUGCCAGCAGCCGCGGUAAUACAGAGGUCUCAAGCGUUGUUCGGAAUCACUGGGCGUAAAGGGUGCGUAGGUGGCGUGGUAAGUCAGAUGUGAAAGCCCGGGGCUCAACCUCGGAACUGCAUCCGAUACUGCCAUGCUAGAGUACUGGAGAGGUGACUAGAAUUCUCGGUGUAGCAGUGAAAUGCGUAGAUAUCGAGAGGAAUACCAAAGGCGUAGGCAGGUCACUAGACAGUUACUGACACUGAGGCACGAAGGCCAGGGGAGCGAACGGGAUUAGAAACCCGUGUAGUCC